AGUCGAGCGAACGGACGAGAAGCUUGCUUCUCUGAUGUUAGCGGCGGACGGGUGAGUAACACGUGUAUAACCUACCUAUAAGACUGGGAUAACUUCGGGAAACCGGAGCUAAUACCGGAUAAUAUUUUGAACCGCAUGGUCCAAAAGUGAAAGACGGUCUUGCUGUCACUUAUAGAUGGAUCCGCGCUGCAUUAGCUAGUUGGUAAGGUAACGGCUUACCAAGGCAACGAUGCAUAGCCGACCUGAGAGGGUGAUCGGCCACACUGGAACUGAGACACGGUCCAGACUCCUACGGGAGGCAGCAGUAGGGAAUCUUCCGCAAUGGGCGAAAGCCUGACGGAGCAACGCCGCGUGAGUGAUGAAGGUCUUCGGAUCGUAAAACUCUGUUAUUAGGGAAGAACAUAUGUGUAAGUAACUGUGCACAUCUUGACGGUACCUAAUCAGAAAGCCACGGCUAACUACGUGCCAGCAGCCGCGGUAAUACGUAGGUGGCAAGCGUUAUCCGGAAUUAUUGGGCGUAAAGCGCGCGUAGGCGGUUUUUUAAGUCUGAUGUGAAAGCCCACGGCUCAACCGUGGAGGGUCAUUGGAAACUGGAAAACUUGAGUGCAGAAGAGGAAAGUGGAAUUCCAUGUGUAGCGGUGAAAUGCGCAGAGAUAUGGAGGAACACCAGUGGCGAAGGCGACUUUCUGGUCUGUAACUGACGCUGAUGUGCGA
This 714-nucleotide ribosomal RNA is filed under the name uncultured Staphylococcus sp. RNAcentral describes it as "bacterial SSU rRNA". It matches the Rfam family "Bacterial small subunit ribosomal RNA", at positions 60 to 756 of the family's 1533-position model. The record is from RNAcentral. Lineage: Bacteria; Bacillati; Bacillota; Bacilli; Caryophanales; Staphylococcaceae.